UUUGACCUUGGGGUGAACUGUAUGCGGUCUAAGGUUUAAAGACAGCUGUUGUGAUUAUGUAACAACUUUAAACUAGUAAGUAUUCAGUUGACAAGCAGCAUAUAAAUAUGUGGGUUUACAUGAAUACAAGCUGCGUUUACUCAAGUGUCUUACAAGUAGGCAGGCUCUCCAUUAACAGGCUCUGUAUGCACUACUUAGUGCACUAUUUCUCAGCGGUUUUGGACGCGCCCGCUGCGCAGCUACUCACUGUGCGUGUUUCAGUUCGCCCUCUUGGUGGGCAUGCAUGUGUGUGUGAGAGAAAGAGGGAGAGAGAAAGAAAGAGAGAGAGUGCACAGAAAGAGUUUGCAGACCUAAAACUGGAGCUUAACCAAGAAUUAUUAAGCCUCAGACUGGAAAUACACCUCAGAGACACAGUCAUAGCGUCUCUAAAAGCAUAGCUAAAAUCCCAAUCAUUCCCCAUGAAUACUGCCCAUACUGAAGAUGCCCAGCUCACCCAAAGCUCCUCAGACACUCCUCCUAACCCCACUAAGCCAGAUGACACCCAGACACAGCCCAUUACAUAAAGAAAACAUACUGAAUCAAUCCCAGAAACUGCCACUGUGCCCCAAAAUCACCAGGAAGACAAAACUCAUACCACCCCAAACCGAGACCACAGAGCAAGCAGAUCUUCUGCAUCACACACAGAUGCAGAAGUAGCAAUACUUAUUGACUCAAACGGAAAGUUCUUACAAGAAGAAAAACUUUUCCCAAAAAGAAAAACUACAAAGAUAUGGUGCCCAAGAACAAGAGACGCCCAUCAAAUCCUGUCAGGCAAUAUCCUUGACAAGCCCACCUGCAUCAUCAUUCAUACAGGCACAAGAGUAUGUGCCCUGAUCCCUAAUGUGCACCUGUCCCACCACUCCAACAUCAGCCCCCAUCAUAUUUAUGAUUAUGUGCACUUAAACAGAAACACUGUUAAAGAAUUUGCCAAAACUUUGAAGGACGUGGCACUGGGUCGACAAA
This 1002-nucleotide long non-coding RNA is filed under the name Astyanax mexicanus (Mexican tetra). RNAcentral's name for it is "lncRNA (ENSAMXG00005017401.1)". The record is from RNAcentral. Lineage: Eukaryota; Metazoa; Chordata; Actinopteri; Characiformes; Acestrorhamphidae.